Molecule: long non-coding RNA, 344 nt
Organism: Sapajus apella (tufted capuchin)
Lineage: Eukaryota; Metazoa; Chordata; Mammalia; Primates; Cebidae
Exons: 3
Source: RefSeq, a predicted model, not a curated record
UUUAAUAAAAUUUAAUUUUAGUCUCACCCCAGUUAAACUGGCUUCUAUCCAAAAGACUGGCAACAACAAAUGCUGGUGGAGAAAAGGAAGCCCUAAGACAUUGUUGUGGGAAUGUAAACUAGUACAACCACUAUGGAGAACAGUUUAGAGGUUCCUCAAAAAAACUAAAAUACAGCUACCAAAUGAUCCAGCAAUCCCACUGCUGGGUAUACACCCCAAAGAAAGUAAAUCAGUAUACUGAAGCGAUAUCUAGACUCUUGUGUUUGCUGCAGCACUGUUCACAAUAGCCAAGAUUUGGAAGUAACCUAAGUAUUCAUCAGCAGUGAAUGGAUAAAGAAACUGUG